RNAcentral lists this ribosomal RNA (553 nucleotides) under Nitrososphaerota archaeon. RNAcentral describes it as "bacterial SSU rRNA". It matches the Rfam family "Archaeal small subunit ribosomal RNA", at positions 89 to 644 of the family's 1478-position model. The record is from RNAcentral. Lineage: Archaea; Thermoproteati; Nitrososphaerota.
CUCAGUAACACGUGGUCAAGCUAACCUAUGGACGUGGAUAACCUCGGGAAACUGAGAAUAAACCGCGAUAGAUCAUGAUGCCUGGAAUGGCUCAUGGUCGAAAUAGUUUACUGCCGUAGGAUGCGACUGCGGCCUAUCAGUUUGUUGGUGAGGUAAUGGCCCACCAAGACUAUUACAGGUACGGGCUCUGAGAGGAGAAGCCCGGAGAUGGGUACUGAGACACGGACCCAGGCCCUAUGGGGCGCAGCAGGCGAGAAACCUUAGCAAUGUGCGAAAGCACGACUGGGUUAGUCCGAGUGAUUCCUGCUAAAGGAAUCUUUUGCCGGUCCUAAAAGCACCGGUGAAUAAGGGGUGGGCAAGUCUGGUGUCAGCCGCCGCGGUAAUACCAGCACCUCGAGUGAUCAGGACGUUUAUUGGGCCUAAAGCAUCCGUAGCUGGCUUUGCAAGUCUCCGGUUAAAUCAACCUGCUCAACAGAUUGGCCGCUGGAGAUACUACAAGGCUAGGGAGUGGGAGAGGCAGACGGUAUUCAGUGGGUAGGGGUAAAAUCCUCUG